GGGAGAAGAAGUAGUUUUUCUAAGGGCUCCCAUUUUAGCUGUACUGUUUCCAUGCGCAUGGCUGAGAUAGCGUGUUCUUUUUGUUUAUCUCCGAUGGAAACCGAGUGGAUUAUUGACUGAAGCGCGCCAGCGCCAGAAAUGUAUCAAACAAAAGGACCAUUUGUAAUGUAACUGAGACCUUUGGAGUGCCAACACAAGAAGAUCUUCAAAGACUAAUCCUGCUUCUGCUGAUGAUGACGGUGACCUUAACACCAGUUUUAGUAGUAGAGCCCGUAUACCCAUUGGAUGAAAGCGUUCAGCCUGGAAUAUGCUCACGCUCAACAUCUGAAGCAAGCCAGGACAGCCAAAGCCAUGGCCUGCAAAGUCAUCAUUCAACGUUCUGGCGCCUUCUGAGAGCCUAUGGGAGCGUUAGAAAAUGUCACGUUAUGCCAGAGAUCCCCUGUUUUGGAUAGAGAUGAUCAAGAAGGCCAAGAAAUAGUCAGAGAGAGCGCUUCCUGUUUGGAAUCCUCUCAGGUUUUGGCCUGCCAUAUGAGUUCUGUUAUACUCACAGACACCAUUCAAACAGUUUUAGAAACUUUAGGGUGUUGUCUAUCCAAAUCUACUAAUUAUAUGCAUAUUCUAGUUUCUGGGCAGGAGUAAUAACCAGAUUAAAUCGGG
Molecule: long non-coding RNA, 657 nt
Filed under: Salmo salar (Atlantic salmon)
Lineage: Eukaryota; Metazoa; Chordata; Actinopteri; Salmoniformes; Salmonidae
Description: lncRNA (ENSSSAG00000104365.1)
Source: RNAcentral